RNAcentral lists this long non-coding RNA (1154 nucleotides) under Piliocolobus tephrosceles (Ugandan red Colobus). RNAcentral describes it as "lncRNA (ENSPTEG00000002140.1)". The record is from RNAcentral. Lineage: Eukaryota; Metazoa; Chordata; Mammalia; Primates; Cercopithecidae.
UGUUGCUGGAUAUGUUGGUAUUUUAUUAUUUUUUUGUUUGCUCUGUUUUGCUGACUAUUUACUACAUUGAUAUCCUGAAUAAAAAAAAAAAAAAAAAAAAAAAAAAGUUAUUAAAAAUUGUUGGUCGAUUAUUUGUACUUAUUAUAUACAUAUUAUAGCUUUUUUUAAAGGUUGUUAUUAUGUUAAAUGAUUAUACUAUUAAUGAAUGUUUCAUGAGUGUUGGAAUUAUUAAGGUUCUACUAGUCUGUUGAAUUAGUUUAUAUUUUGGUGUUUGUUGUUGUGUUAAAUAUGUUUUAAUGUCUUUAUUUGAAUAUUUAAGUGAGUUGAAUGGAUUUACGUUGGUUGAAAUGUAUUCAAUUGGACACAUGAUACUUUUUUUUUUGUGAAAUUUUUUGCUGUUUGUUAUUUUAAUUAUUUUUUUGUUUUUUUUCCUUCGUUAAGUAAUCAGUUUGUUAUGUAGGGUACUUGAUUUAUUUUAUGAAUUUGAUUGGUUGUUUCUAUUUGGAUGCAUGAAAAAUGUAUUUAGUUGUGUGAAACAACGCCAUAUACAGCGAAUGAAUCCAAAAAAAAAUAAAGUAAAAAAAAACAAGAGCUGAAAUAAGUUCAAUUAAAAUGUUUGAUAUGCCAUGCUAGAUUAAAUUAAAUUCAAAUAAGUUAUUAAAAACAAUAAAGCAAAACUAUAAUGUAUAUUCUGUAAUUCUAAUAUGUAUAUAAUUAGAUAUAAGUUUAUACCGUUUAUAAAAGUAUAGAUAUAAAACUUAAUAGCAAAAAUAAUACGAAAAAAAAAAACACUACUAUUCCUAAAAACAUGAAAAAUAAAAGAAAUCUUCAACCCGUAAACCAUUAUUCUUAAACCAGAAACCAAUUCAAAGCCCUUUCUCCUAAAACAACCCGCUUAAAUGAAAUCAUCAACCCGUAAGCCAUUAUUCUUUAACCCCAAAAAACCAAUCAAAAAAACCUUUUCCAUGAAACAACAAAUAAUAAUAAAAAAAUAUUAUAUUAAAAUUAAUACUUUCUAUUUAUUUGAAUAUGUACUUUCUGUAAUUUUUUUGUUUUGUUGAAAUGUUUUUAUGAUUCAUUGAGUUCUGUUGUUUUGAAGCGAUAGGUUAAAUAAUAGCAAUAAACAUUUAUUAAUCAGUUGGUCUAUAAGAAGG